This 16998-nucleotide long non-coding RNA is filed under the name Cucumis sativus (cucumber). RNAcentral's name for it is "long non-coding RNA (CSAT_LNC001454)". The record is from RNAcentral. Lineage: Eukaryota; Viridiplantae; Streptophyta; Magnoliopsida; Cucurbitales; Cucurbitaceae.
UUUUUUUUUUUUUUUUUUGUUAUAAAAUCGGGGCACAACUGAAAUACCGAAAUCGAAAAAAUAUAAUAUGAAAAUAAUAAUAUAUACUAUAUAUUAUAUAAUAUAAAUAAAUAAAUGAUCCCAUAUCUAGGGAGGGUUGGGCUCCCGGUAGGAGCAUCCACAUCUCAUUCCCUUCGAUCCGACUACUGUUUAGGAAGAGGGCAGUUUCCAACCUUCCUCGUGCUUCGCGGCUCAUACCCUUUCUUGAGUUGAGGUUCAAAGAAGAUUUUUGGUUUAUUUUAUGACUCGAUUUUGUAUUCGUCUUAUUUAUGAGAUUCCUUAUUCUUCCUUCUGGAUUGCUCAUUAUUAGAUUAUGAUGAUUAGGAGUGCAAUCCCCUCAUUAUUAGAUUAGGAAGAAGAGAAAUUCAAUGCCCUCAUUAUUAGAUUAGGAAGAAGAGAAGUCCAAUCCCCUCAUUAUUAGGAAUAGGAAGAAGAGGAACUCUGUUAGUCCCGGUCUCAUAUAUAGGAAGGGAGCUUUCUUUCUAGUCAUAUCCGAAAGUUCCUUCUCCUCUCACUUUGGAACAAUCGAAAAGGAAAGAAAGGGGGAAAAUACCCUUUCUCUAGAGGAAAUGGAAAUGGUGAGUUGGGCCAGGUCCUGAUUCCCAAUGCAUGAAAUACUGGAUCGAAACCACUCAAAUAAGGGGAGCCUUUCAAUCAGUAAUGGAAAGGCAGAAAAACAAUCUUUCCUUCAAUCACAAGCUUGGGGAAGCCUGCGUGCCUAUGUUGCAAGAUCAAUCAAAUCAAAAGUCGUAUAUCUGGGGUCAAUUCUAAAAGUAGCAGGAUUCUCAGGCGAACUCAUUUGAAUUAGUAGGGAUCUCGACAUGGUGAAUCUACCUACUCCAAGUACCCAAAACCUCUGGCAAGACUCCCAUCCCAACCCGAGCUUAUGAAGGAAGAGAAUGUGUAUGCCCUAAAGCUACUCAUACCCUUUCUUGAGUCUAGAGGUAGGCCCAAAGAGUACACUGCCAAUGAGUUGCAGGAACACUCUCUCCUUUUGGAUUGUAUUGCAUUGCAACCAACCUUGUCUUCUAGCAAUCCAAGCAAAGAGCUUCUGAUGUAUGGUCUUGUCUUCUAGCGAUCCAAGCAAAGUGCUCCUGAUGUAUGGUCCUUCCAGCACCCAAAAGAAUAUUGCAGAGAGAAAGAUUGACUUAAGAAAAUUGAAAAUCUCUCAAAUUUCUCCACUAUUUUCCAUUUAUUUGAAAACUCAUCCAAUUAAAGUGUGUCUUUACAAAUCCACCAAAGCCCUUUAUUUAUAGAUAACUUAGAAAGUAGGAGGUGGAUUACAUGGCCACUAAGAGGCCAUGUUUGCUUGACUCAUGAUGAACACUAAGCACACUAAUGGGUUGACAUGUGGCUAUAGCCACUAAGCACACACUAAUAGGCAUCUACUUAUAUUAAUAUUAUUUAUAAUACUUCCUCUUAGAUGUCCAUUACAUAUAUGAAAUAUGUCUCGUUAAAACCUUACUAGAAAAAACCCCAAGGAAAAAAAUCAUAGUAAAGGAAAAAGAGUACAUAUUUCAUAUAUACUUACAAAAAUAAAAUUUACUCCCCCUCAUGGUAACAUCACUUCAGAUCUCUAAGUCGCUGCAUGCCAAUGUUGUGUAAAAAAAUUUCAAAUGUUGCGGUAGGUAGUGAUUUUGUAAAUAAGUCUGUCAAAUUAUCCUUUAAACAAAUUUGUUGCAUUGUGAUGUCGCCAUUUUCUUCAAAAUUAUGAGUAUAGAAAAGCUUCAGUGAGAUGUGCUUAAUUCUAUCACCUUUAAUAUAACCUCCUUUUAUUUGAGUUAUAUAUGUUGUGUUGUCUUCAUAUAAUGUUGUUGAAGAGAGUUUACUAGAAGACAAACCACAUGUUUCCCGAAUGUGUUAAGUCAUCGAUCUUAACCAUAUACAUUCUCGACUAGCCUCGUGAAUUGCAAGAAUUUUGGCAUGAUUUGAGGAGGUGGCUGUUAUAGUAUGUUUUACUAAUUGCCAAGAUAUAGUAGUUUCUCUACAUGUGAAUAGAUAAUAUAUCUAAGAUCUAGCUUUGUGUGAAUUAAAUAAAUAUCCAGAUCAAUGUGCAAAAUCAACUAAGUUAAAAUUUGAUUUAUUUGUAUAAAAUAAUCUCAUAUCAAUUGUUCCUCAGAGAUAACGAAGUAUAUGUUUAGUUCCAUUCUAAUGCCUUUUUGUUGGAAAUAAAUUGUAUCUAGCUAAUAAAUUUACUGAAAAUGCAAUAUCCGGUCUUGUAUUAUUAGCAACAUACAUAAGUGCACAAAUUGCAUUAAGAUAUGGUACUUUUGGACCAAGGAGUUCUUCAUUAUCAUCUCAAGGUCCAAACUUUAUCUUUCUUCUUAUCUAGUGAACGAACUUGCAUUGGGAUAUUCAAUGGAUGCACUUUAUCGAUAUAAAAUAUUUCCAAAACUUUUUUUGUAUAAGUUGAUUGAUAUAUGAACAAAUAUCUCAUAUGCCAGAUGCUCAAUUUGUAAACCAAGAUAAAAUCUUGUUUUUUUUUCGAGAUUUUUCAUCUUGAAUUCUUUCCUAAGAUAUUCUAUUGUCUUUUAAAGCUCUUCAGGAGUUCCAAUUAUAUUUAAACUAUCAACAUAUAUCGUUAUAAUAGCAAAUCAUGAUUGUGAUUUCUUUAUAAAAAAUGCAGGGACAUUAGAUUAUUUUGAUAUCCUUCUUUCAACAAAUAUUCACUCAGGUGAUUGUACCACAUUCGUUCUGAUUGUUUCAAUUCAUAUAAUUAUUUCUAUAUUUCUAUAACUUUAUUGAACAUAGUUUUUGGAAACUUAACUUAUAUGUUUCAGGUAUCUUAAAUCCUUCGGGGACUUUCAUAUAAAUAUCAUUAUCAAAAGAUUCAUAUAAGUAUGUUGUGACUACAUCCAUAAGAUGCAUGUCCAGAUUUUCAUACACAGUUAGGUCAAUAAAAUAUCUUAAUGUAAUUGCAUCCGUCACUGAAGAAUACGUCUCCUCAUAAUCAAUACCAGGUCAUGUGAACAACCUUGUGCAACUAAUCUUACUUUAUAUCUUGUGAUCUCAUUACUUUCAUUUCUUUUUUCUCACAAAUACUCAUUUAUAUCACACACGUUUGACACUUUCUGGUGUUUGGACUACUGGUCCAAAAACCUGACAUUUGGAAAGUGAAUUUAAUUCUACCCCAAUUGCUUCUUUCCACAAAGACCAAUAUUUUCUCUAUUGACAUUCUUCAAUGGAUUUUGGUUCAAAAUCCUCAUUUACGGAUAAAAUAUCAAGAGCAACAUUAUAUGCAAAAAUAUUAUCAACAAUUACAUUAGUUCGGUUCCAUCUUUUUCCUAUCAUGACAUAGUUUAUCGAGUUCUCAUUAUCAUCCUCGACUGUUUUAUCUUCUUUGUCAUUUUUGUCGGAAAUCAAAUUUUGGAUCUCUUCUAGAACAUCCACAUCUUUAAUCAAGUUAUUAACUCGAUUCUUUUCUGAGGAUUUUUAUCUUUGAAACCAACUGGUCUACCAUGCUUUUGGCAUGUUCUAGAUUCAUUAAUGACAACAUGUUGUUUCGGGAUAUCAAUCUUUAAUAUUGGAUAUUUGCAACUGCUAUAUGUGAUUUAGUUACUUUCUUUGCAUCUACAAAUGCAUCUGGUAAUUGAUUUGCUAUAUUUUACGAAUGAAUUAUUUUUUAAACUUCAAGUUCACAUUGAUCUGUACGAAGACCUAAAUGAGACAAUAAUGAUACAUUUCAUGUAAUUUCUUUUUUCAACUUCUUAAUUCAUCUCCAUAAUGUUGAAAAUUUUGUGUAGUUAAAAUGACAAUCAACAAAUCGUGCAGUAAACACAUCACCCGUCAGGGGUUCAAGAUAUUUAAUAAUUGAUGGAGAAUCAAAACCAACAUAUAUUCCUAGCCACCUUUAAGGACCCAUGUUAGUACGUUGUGGUGGAGCAAUUGAAACGUAUACUGCACAUCCAAAAAUUCUCAAAUGAGAAAUAUUUGGUUGAUGGCCAUAUGUUAAUUGUACUGGUGAGUACUUGUGAUAAGUUGUUGGCCUUAUGCACAAGUGACGCAACAUGCAAAAUAACAUGUCCCCAUACAAAUGUAGGGAGUUUAGCCCUCAUAAGCAAGGGUCUAGCAAUUAAUUGCAUACGUUUUAUAAAUGAUUUUGCCAAACCAUUUUAUGUAUGAACAUGAGCUACAGGAUGUUCAACACUUAUACCAAUAGACAUACAAUAAUUAUCAAAUGUUUGGAAUGUAAAUUCACAAGCAUUAUCAAGUCGAAUAUUCUUAAUUGUAUAAUUUGAAAACUGUGCUCUUAACUUAGUUAUUUGAGCAAGUAAUUUUGCAAAUACAAGAUUUCGACUUGAUAAUAAGCACACAUGCGACCAUUUGUUAGAUGCAUCUAUUAAGACCAUAAAAUACUUAAAGGUUCCAUUUGGUGGAUUAAUCGAUCCACAAAUAUCACCAUGAAUUCGUUCUAAAAAUGUAAGUGACUAAAUUCCCACUUAAGCUAGUAAUGGUCUAAUUAUUAAUUUUCCUUGAGAGCAAGCAUCACAUGAUAAUUCAUUAGUUUGAAGAAUCUUCUGGUUCUUCAAUGGAUAUACACGUGAAUUUUCAAUAAUUCUUCUCAUCAUUAUGGAUCCUAGAUGCCUCAAUCGAUAGUGCCAAAUUGCAAAUAUGUCUGAAUUCAUGAACUUCAGGUUCAUUGUUGCAUAUGUUUCAAUUACUCUUAUAUGAGUAUAAUAUAAUCCAUAAGAUAAAGCAUAUAACUUUUCUAAUAUACGUUUUUCAUUUGAGACACGAGAUAUAAUAUAAAGAUAUUCUAUCCCAUUCUUUCUAUCAAUCUCAAUAUGAUAACCAUUGCAACGCGUAUAUCUUUAAAACUCAAUAAAUUUCUUUUUUAUUGACGAGAGAACAAUGCAUUAUCAAUUAUGAAUGUUAUUCCUCUAGACAAAAUAAUAUUUCCUUUUCUAAACCCUUCAAUAAGGUUUGCAGAAUCUGAUAUUGUAUUAACUUUUGCUUCCAACAUUGUCAGUUUGGAAAAAAUAUAUUUUUUACUUGUCAAUAUUGUGUGCGUAAUUGCAUUGUUUGCCAAAACAUAUAACUUAAUUACUCAUUUUUCAGUUAUUCAACAUAAGAAAAUUACUCAUGCUUCUUUAUUAAACAAAAUAAUUACAAUUAGAAAAUAAACAUAGAAUAUAUAUAAAAAUGAGAGAUAAAAUAACAACAUUAAUUAUUAAUUCAUAAAUAAAGCACUUACUAUUUUAUCAAAUAUGAUAAUCUCUUCAAGAGAUUCAAAACUUUACCACGUUCAAAUUUGUCAUACCGGAUGUGUCAAAUAUAUUAUCAGUUUGGUAUGCAAUGUCACACCCCAAUUCACAAAACAACCCGAACGCAGGAAAUAGUGCAGAUAUGACACGAUUUAGCUUAAAACCUUGAAACUGGUCUUAUCCCCUAGCUUAAACUUAACUCUUUUAAACUACCAAGCGAUAAAGAUAAACAUAAUGCAACAGAAGUCAACUUAAACUUUUAUUCAACAACAAGUGUUUAGUACAUGAACAUAUAAUUACAACAUCUUGACCAAAAUAAAUGACAUUAAUCAAAACUCUUAAACGUCUGGUAGCUUCUUCAACUCGCUGCAAGCCCUUCAACAUUCUUCUCUAUUUGGUGCAAAUGUCAAAUCCUGGAAGAUGAAAUUUUACAACACAAGUCUAAAAGACUUAGUAAGAUUUUAUGAAAACCUUUUCACAAUACCUUUUGAUAAAUCAUUUUCGUCAAAUCAUAAAUUUCAACACAAAUCAAUUUAUAAAUAAACACAUCAUUUUGUAAAACAUAUCGAAACAAAUGUAAUUAUUUUUACAAUAGAAUAAGAUCAACUCACAAAUCAUAUCAAUAUACAUUUUACAUAAAUAACCAUUAGUCAGAAUCAUUUCUUUCACCAAGGAUCCCACGUUCUUUACGUUUGGUCUCAUUACCUCGCUUUUAGACUACUGUAUCAACAAAAUCCGAGAACAUACAAAUUCAUUCUUAUUGCUCAGACCGCUUAACACAAUGUCAAUCUUUUUCUACAUUGGCUGACUUCACUUCUAAUGACAGAGACCAAAGUAAGUAUUUUUUAAAAGUUCACGAACCAAAACACAUACUUUAAAAAGUUUAAAAACAAAAAUAGAACAAAAUAUAAAAUUGAUGAAGCCUAAGAAAAGAAUUGUUUUUUCUAAAAGGAAAAGUAUUAUUAUUAUUGUAAUUUGCUUUUAAGGUAAGGCAAUGAUGAAGUUGAAGUCCCCUUGCCUAACCGGAUACGUCCUAUCCCAUACGAUUGUAGUUACCAAGAGUAUGUAUCAUUGGGUUAGAGGUAAAAGAUAGCAUAAAUAAUGGAAGGGCAUUUUGGAAAAAAUGUAACUAAGACACCGCCCUAGAAUAACGCUUGGAGUUCCCCACACUCCCAUAAACAAUACUUCAUUUAACUAUGGACCCUUUUUUGUACCACACACACUCUCCUAUAUAUAUAUAAAAGGGUAGAAUUUUUUUCAAAAAGAAAAAUUGCUUUUGUCAUUUUCAAAUAAUUGGAAUUUUUUAAAGAAAUUUUCAAGAAACUUUGAACCACCUUCAUAAAUGAUUCAAAAUUCAACCAAGUACUAAAAUCAAGUCAUGUGAAAGCUAUAAAAUUCAAACAUGAAAGAUACUUAGAAUUCAUAUAUAUAUAAAAAACAUCUUGAAAAUAAUGUUUGAUUUAUUUUUAAUUUGAUAUUAUCGUAAGUAUUAUUUGCUCCACCAAGAACUUAGGUGGUUUUUUUCAAAAAUAUUUUGUAGAAAUUAUUUUAAAUUUCAAAAACGAGAAAUUUUUCGUUUUAGACCAUUGAUUUCAAAUUUUAAAUCUUCAAUAGAAACGGGUAUUUCUACAUUUGAAGUUUGUAAAAAAAUUUAAAGACUUUUUUCAGAAAUUAUUUUUUUCUUUGAAGAUGGUUUUGAGGAAAAAUUAUCAUCUUAAAGAAUCUCGGGGUGUUUCUAAAUAUUUCUUUUUAACUCUUGAUUUGAUUGAACAUGAUUUGAUUGUUUGAAAUAAUAAACCAUAUUUGAAAGUUAAAACAUUUGUUUCGUUUAAAACACAUUUACAUGGGUCCUUAAUACACCCACAUGCUCUUGGUCUAUCAUAUGAAAAAGAUUAGCUUGAAAUUUUUAAGUCGGUUUCAUUUGCAUUUUUCUGCAAUUGAUAGUAAAAAAUAUAGGAUGAAUUUGGAGAAUAUUCUUCUUCGUUUAUCUCAUGGAUUCCUCUUUGCGGACAUCUAUUAGCAUAAUAUCCAUCAAUAAACAUUUCUUUCCAAUGUCUGGCAUUGCAAUUCUUGAAGAUAUAAAUACUAAAUAAGAACAUAUCUUUGUACCAUCUAAAGGUUUCCAUACAGAAAUAUUUUAGACUUUUUAUUAUUUUCUUUUGGUUGUCUAUAUCAGUUUCACUUCCUAAGCUGAAAUGUCUGUUGAUAGUGUAGAGAAGAACUUCUACAACAUCCUCUCGAUCUUCUUCUACUUCUUGAGUUGUUGAAGUUCCAUCUUAAGUUUUAAUCCUCCUUUUAACUAUUGUCCUAUUGUUUUUAAUUGCUUCUUUUUUUUCAUUGGUUAGGGCAUGACCCCACCACAAUUUGAUACUUCCACUAAAUCCAUUAGUCAGAAGCAUAGCAGCUUCUCCAUUUAAAUGACCAUUGGAUUCAUAGGCUAUAGAACAAGUUAACAUAUUAUUUAAUAUGUCAUAGAUUUGAAAUUUCGAAGCUCCAUCAAUAUUUUUUUUCAGUUUUAUCCUUUUAAUAACGUUUUAGUUGGGUAAAUUUAGUCUUUGUACUAUGCAAUUAGAGUUUUAUUGGGAGACUAUUUAAGUAUUGCCUUUAGGUUGUACAAAGUAGUUUUUGAUAUACGAAGAUUCAUAAUUUUCUAUCAAAGGACUUUGGUAGAUAGCAUGCCAAGAACACUAAGGUAAUUUAGCUCCAAGUCGUUUCUACAACGACAACAUGAGCUUGCUGAACAACAAGGUCAAUCGAUCAAUCAAAUGAAGUUGUUCAAAGAAACACACGCUUGGGAUGGUCAGUCAUUUCCCUGGCGAUCGCAGAUGCGCAUGUAAGUUUCUGUGAUACUUUUGUCUUAUUUUGUACAUUUAAUUUACAAGUUUAACUUAAUUAAAUAAUUUAUUGCAGUAUCAAAUGUUGGAACUUCAGUCCCAGCCCACCCUAGAGGCUUCUCAACCACUCUCAGGUAACGAGAUAUGCGAGGCAGUUUUAGGUAGACAACUAGGCUACUCAAAAGGUAUUGGUUGGGGUCCAUGGAAAAAGUUUCGAAACAUUGCAGACAAUUCUUCAUCUACAUCAUACGAGCGAGAGAUGCACACCAGAGAGGUUAUCGAGUUAGAAGCUCGUAUUGAGGAAGUGACAGAGUUGCAUGAGCGAGCAAUACAAAUAAAUUACCGAAAACACAAAGAAAAUGCCGACAGAUGAAAGAAAUGACGAUGAUUGAAGAUUUUACUCGGGCACAGAGAGGACCUUGAUUCUAUUGUGGUACGUAUUUUUCAACGUUUAACUUCUUUAAUAUCUUAUUGGUGAUAUAUAUCUAAAUUUAAUUUCAUGUCAUUGUAGGUUGGGGGCAUGAGGGAACUGGCAUCUACGACGCUCUUAGUAGAUUUGCUUUUAGUUUUUAUUUUAUAUCUUUCAUGUAAUUUUUUAACCUUCUGUACGCUUUUAAUAUUUGAAUUAAUUAUAAUUUAAAUUUGAUUUCAUAUUUUAAUUGUAUUUUAUUAAUUUUACAUUAGCUGUGUUUCAAAAUUUGAUUGAAUUUAAAUUAAAUCAUAACUCAAUAAUAAAAAAAUAGUUAAAUAAUAAUAAUAAAAAUAUAAUUUAAAAGCUUUUUCUCGACGCACAAGCGCAUCGAGAAUGGCCCCUAUACCGACCCUGUGUCGAUCCAAAAUUUUUUGACGUUUCAUAGAUCAUUCGUUAAUGCCAACGCGUUGAUCAAACGUCGGGGUUGGGUGCCCCGAUGUGUUGAGUCAGUUGGCGGAGUCAACAUCGGCAUAAGCGUAUUAUCAACAUCAUUUUGUUUUGCGUCGACCUUACCUAUUUCGAUGCAAUACAUCCAACAUCGUCCACUAUUGUUGCUUGUGUUGGGCAAGCCUUUUCUGACGUGUUUUCUGGUUUUGGCCGACACAUAUGUGCGUGGGGAUAAUCCUUUCUCUUUGUAGUGUAAUUGGUCUCCAGCAAGAUAUUGUGGCUACACAUAUUAAAUUAAAAUCGUGAUCCAACAUAACCUAAUGUAAUUAUUGUUUUAAUCAUUUUAUCACGCGAUAUCUAUAAUUGAAUAUAAAGCAUGGACAAAGCCAUUUUAUCUAAUUCAAUUGCUUUAUCGAUCAAUAAGCAUAUAGAACUAACAAAUGACAUUAAUACCGUUAUUAAUUCAUUUAUAGCACAGUCAUGCAUUUCCAUAGUCACUCUUAAUCGAGGGAUCUAGCUAGAGAUACUUUCUCCAUAACAAGAGAUAUAUAAGUUCCAUCUUGAUUAAUCAUUGUCAACUACAUAAUUCAAAAUGUAUUCAAGUACGAAUAACGUUUGAUUGUAUCAUAAUAGAUUAAUUCUUGUAUUAAAUGACAAUACUACCCUCAUCUAAGUUCUUACCACAAAUUCCACAGUACCAAAAAGCUUUCUCAAACAUAACUAAUGGGUUAAAAUAGAUAUAAAAGUAAUGUUUUAAUUAAAUAUUCUUAAAAAGACAAAAGUUGACAGAUUCGGAGAAGGAAAGAAAGAGAGAUGUAAGUAUUAAGAGCAAAUAAUUUGAGAAUAAGAUUUGGUGGAAAGAUACAAAAUAAUAAUAAUAAUAAUAAUAAGUUUGAUAUGUUUUGCAUUUAUUAAAACAAUAAAUAUAAUAAUGGGUGGGGUUUGUGGCUAAAAUAAUUUGCUUACGUAAUUUUAAUCUAUACAAAUAUUGCCCUCUCUUCCACUAAACCCAUUUAUGGAUAACAGAUUAAACCUGCUUUUGUUUUAACUUCUUCUUCUCCUUUUGCAUCUCUUAUUUAAUUCCCUUUCUCUUAUUUUAUUACUUUCGUCAUCUAUGGUGUCCUUAUGUUUCCAUUAUCCAUCAUUUGUUGCAAUUAGAGGUGCCAAAUGAUCUAAAGAUUAUCCAUAUCCAUAUGCCCUUUUUAUUUUUUAUUUUGGUUUCAAAUAGAUUUGUUGGAGAUGUGUUAGUAUAAAGUUUCCCACAUAUUUUUAUAUACACAUAAAAGAUAGGAGUGUAAUUUUUAGUUUCUAAAAGUUUAGUUCUCUAUUUUCUAAAAUUGUUACACGUAUGAUAAUUUCGUUUUAUAUUUAAAAAUUUAUAAUAAUUUAAUCUUUUAUAUUACCUUAGGGAAAACAUCGUUCCUCAAAUUCAUAACUUUACAAUUAAUCCUUUACAUUUUCCUUGGAAAAAAAAUUGGUAACUUAACUUACCAUUUUUGUUUAAUCAAAUUUUAGUCUAAUUUUUUAAUUUUGUUUGUUUAGUUUUUAAAAUUAAAUAAAAUAUUUUUAAAAUAUAUUUGAGUGACAAAAUAUUUACACCACCUAAAACAAUUUUGAGGAUGAAAAAAUACCACAUGCCUACAAUAAAUAAUACAAAAAAUGUUAUGUGAUUAAUUGUGACGCAGUGCGCGUAAUAUAUUUGGUAAACAAUCGUUUAUAUUUGGCUUAAACGAUUGUUUACAUUUGGCUAUUCUAUAGGAUUGUAUUUGAUCGUUUAGAUUCGAAUUGCAAAAUUUAAAUGACUUUUUUUCAAGAUUUUUUGGUACACGAGAUUGUUUAGAUUUUUUUAUCGUUUAAAUUUAGAUAACCAAAUCUAAACAAUUUUUUUCAAAAUUUUGGUAUAUAAUCGUUUAUAUUUAGUUUAAAAUUGGAUAGCCAAAUCUCAACAUUUUUUUUUCAAGAUUUUUUGGUACACAAUAGUUUAUAUUUGAUACACGAUCGUUUAAAUUUGAUUACCCAAAUCCAAACAAUUUUUUUAAAAAGAUUAUUUAGUACACGAUCAUUUAGAUUUGAUUAUUUUUUUAUACAAUAAUUUAGAUGUGGCUCUCAAAUCUAAACAACGUUUUUUUCAAGAUCUUUUAUAUUUGGUAAACGAUCUCUUGAACAACCAACCGUUUGGAAAAAAAAUUAUUUGAUACACAAUCUUGAACCAAAAAAAUAAAAGAAAAAUGGCCGAAGAAGAGAAGGAAGACGAUGGAAAGAAAAAAAAAAUAUAAACCGUAGAAUAGAAAGAGAAGAAAGACGAUGAAAAGAAAGACAAAUCUAGAACAUUUAAACAAAAUGACUAGCUUAAUGGACUUUUCAUUUUGUAGGAUCAAUCAUAAUAACCGUAAAGUUAAGCAUAUGUUAGCUUGGAGCAAUCUUAAGUUAGGUGUCCUCUUCAGAAUUUUCCUAGUAUGCAUGUGAUUGAGAACAAAACAUGCUAAAGAAAUAUGUGUUAGUUCUUGGAAACAACUUUUUCUUUUAGAAACUUUUGAGACAAACAAAAAUGACAAUGUUCGAUCACACGAGAAGAAGGAAACCAUCUGUUGCAAAAUCUAGAUUCCAAAUCCUAGGCCUUUUACAUCAUAAUAGACAACGAUUGACUAUUAGAAUUCAAUCUUAAAAAUGCUUAUCCACUUUUUCUUUUUUCAUUUAGAAAAAAAAUGCUUAUACUUUUUCUUUUCUCAUUUAAAGAAAAAAAAAAAAAAAAAAAAAGCUUAUACCUCAAGUGUAGGGGAAGGACUAAAUAAAAAUCAUAAAAGAAAGCAUAUCAUAAAAAUCAUAUUAUAAAAUAAAAUCAUUGGCAAAAGAUAUGGUAUGGACAACAGGGGAAUUAUAAAUGUGCAAGGUGGCUCAAGUGGUGUUUGGUUUAAAUAAAUAGUUCACAAUCAAGAAAAUUAUAGGAAAAUUACUUAAAACAGCUUAAGCAUGGAGAGCAAUAAGAAAUUAUAAUAUAUGAAAUUUAAGGUCUAAAGUUGUGGGGGCACAACCCCUUUUCCCAUCCUUCCAUAAUCUUCAUUAUUUUCAAACCUUAUAUUAUUGUUGUAAUAAUUCCAAACUCCACUCUAUUAAAAAUUAAUAUAUUUUAGAAUAUUUUUAAAAUUAAUAUAAAUAAAUCAAAACAUUUACAAAACUAUACCAAAAUUUUUAUAGUGAUAGAAUUUGUUAUAAUUUACCAUUUUUAAAAAUUUCUUUAUAUUUUAAUUAAUAAAAUUUAUUUAUUAUUUAAUUUUUAAAUAUACUUUUUUUUUUAAAUCUAAACUUUUAGUUUUGUUUUGGGUGUGUAAUAGAUUCAUAAAUUUUCAUAAAAGCUUUUCUAAAUUUUAAUAUUUUUACUACUUACUUUUAACUUUUAAAUUUUAUAUGUUAUAGAUAUAUGAUAUAUAUAACAUUUUUAAAUUAAUAAGUUGGUGAGAAACGUAUAUUAAGUGUUGUGUUAGUAGGAAAUAAACUUUUAACUAUUAUGAUUUUUUUAAUAAAAAAAUCGCUCAUUUAUAAUAAUUAAAUAUAGGAAACAAUUAGUCUAUGCAGGAUUAAAAGUUUUCUAAAAGAUAUAUUGCAUACCAAAUAAUAUUAUUUUAGGAACAGCAAAACAUAAAAUAAAUUAAAAAUUAAACAGAUUCACAAUUAAAAAAAAGGAUUGAAGAUCCAAUUAGCCACAAACACAUAAAAGUUGAGAAAUUAAACUUAUAAUUUGAUAUUUUCCUUUUGGUAGAAGUACAUCUUAGAUGAGCCAAAGUUGAUUUGAAGAGCCAAAUUGUAUAUCCAAGUCAAUGUAUUUGUGGGGUUUCUAGAGAGCUCCAAUGUUUUGAUUGGCUUUUGUGGAGUGUAGGAGGACCUUAUGAUUAAAUAUAUAACUAUUAUACGCAAUUAAUCAUCCAUUAUCCAAUUUGCAGUUGAAAUAAUGACGACUUUGUUUGUAUGUGUUUCUCUCACCUUUUUUCUGUUUUUUAUUUUCAUAAGAAAAAGUUUAUAAAGAUGAGACCAAAGUGUGUUGGAUUUUGGCAGUGAUGGAACAUUGCUUCAUAGUUGAAAAGAAAAGAGAGAAGAAAUAAACAAACAAACUAAACGCAUUGCAAAGUGGAUCAUAAUUAAUCAAACUUGCAAGUAAACUUGACUCUUAUUUGUACGUUGAUUUCAUGGAUCGGACCAAAAAAAGUCAAUUACAUCAUGAUUGGUUAGUGUCAAUCAUCUUAAUAUAUAUAUAUUAUUUAAUUUGCAUAAAUUGGGAUAUCUCCAUUUUUUAGAAGGAAACAGUGUUGAGAGCAUGGAGCUCCCGACACCGAAUUUAUUAGAAUAUCAAGAGACUACAAAAUGCUAGAGAGAAGCCCUAUACUCUUAAGUUAGAAAAGCGGGAAAGUUAAGAGCUAAUGAACUAGAAGGAUAGUCUUUGAAUAGGUGGUGGUGGCUACACCACAAACCUAUGUAAUUACAGCUAUCUUUCCACAAAUUCAAGAAGCUAUUUUGUUUGUUAACAAAUAUUCUUUUUUUUCUCUCUCCAGAUGCUUCAAAGAACAACUACGAUUGCAUUUGUGAUAAUGAUUGUCUCUAAUCCUCAACUGAUGAUAACCUGAGCGUAAAUCAAUCUUAGAGAAUACAAUGGCUUCUUCCGACUGAUCAAACAAAUCAUCAAUUCUGGGCAGUGGAUACCUGUUCUUGAUCGUUACUUUAUUAAGUUCCCUAUAGUCAAUGUAAAGACGCAUCGACCAUCCUUUUUCUUCACAAAAAGUACUGGUGCUCUCCAAGACAACAGACUAGGUCGAAUAAGACAAAUUAACUCAAGUAAUUGUACCUUCAGUUCUUUCAAUUCAGCUGGAGUCAUUCUAUAUGGGGCUCUCAAAAUGAGAACGGUACAUGGCUUCAACUCAAUAGAAAAAUCGAUCUCCCUGUGAGGCGAAAGUCCUAGAAGCACUUCUGGAAACACAUCAGGGUAUUCUCUUACCACAGGUUCUGAUGUCAAAGAAAUCUCAGCUUCCCUAUUAUCCACCACACUGGCCAAAAUAUUCUAGGUACUCUAGUUCAACAGUUUACUGACUUUCAUCGUUGUAAUUACUUUAGGCAGUACCACAGUCCUUACCCUUUUAAAUUUAAAACUAGGCUUGGUAGGAGGACUGAACACUACCUCAUUGCGAGAAAAAUCAAUACUAGCAUGAUUGACAGCUAACCAAUCCAAGCCUAAAAUCACAUCGAAAUCAUGCAUAUCCAAUACUAAUAAUGUUACAUCCAACACCCGACUAGCUAUCUCAAUUUGACAUGCUUUAAUCUUUUCGUUGACAACAUAAUUUCCCCAGAUGGUGUAGACACUAAUAAAACAUAAUCUAGGGGUUCCACUUCUAAACAUGCAGGUGUUACAAAUAUCAACGAUAUAAAAGAGUUGAGAGGAACCAGAGUCAAACAAAGUUAAGGCAAAAUGUCCCAACACUGGUAGCGUAUCUGUCACAACUGUGCCAACUCCCUCAGCCUCAGAUUUGCUAGUGGCAAAGAUUUUGCCCUACUGUGAUGCUCUUGUCCCCUUACUGUUCUACCCAGCCUUAGUAGGUCUCAAAGGACAACGAUCAGCUGUAUGCCCCUCUUACCUAUACUUGAAACAAAUCCUAGUCCCAAAUAAACAGCAACCCAGAUGGUGCUUUCCACAAGUGUUGCACAACGGUUUCUCUCUGGCAGUUUUACCUGCACCAAUGGGAUUCUGCUGGAAUGGGAUUCUGCUGGAAAAGGUGAGAAUCACCACUUGACCUCAAGUUUCUCUGUUUAGGGUUUCUUUAUUUAAGUCUUGUAUUAGGAUCUUGUUUCAUGUAUUAUUGUAGAAGGUAUAUACAAAUACAAAUUUUAAGAUUUCAUUUUGUGUAUACAAACGUAAAAGAAAAAUAUUGUAGUUUCUAAAAUAAUAUUAAUUUUAUUGAUUCGUUGGUGUGAAAAAAAUAUUUAUCUACACGUACCCAAUGUUGGUUUAUAAAAAAUGGACAAUAAUGCAACAAUUAAAUAAAAAUAGAUCAAAAAAUAAGACUUUAAUGUCGGUUUUAAAAAAUAAUUUAUAAAAAUAGAUCCAGAAAUAAGACUUUAAUAUCGGUUUAAAACCACAUCAAAGGCCAACCAACACUAAAGAUCUUCAAUAACACCAUCAAAAAUGUCGGUUUAAAAAUGACAUUAAAGGCCUUUAAUAUCGUUUUUAAACCGACAUCAAAGUAGAAACGACAUUAAAGACAUUCAAUAACACUAGCAUAGAUGUCGGUUGUCAACUGACACUAAAGGUCAUUCAUUAAAGGCCAGAUUUCUUCUAGUGUAACAUAGAUUGCAAAGAUAUGAACAACACUAUAAAAGAAGAGAUGCUUUGUAAACCUGCAUUUCAAGAGAAAAUGAAAGUGACACCGCAAAUUAUAAGAAGGAAGAACAUGGACUUUGAAAAAGAAGGAAUACAUUUUCAUACUUCUCAAUAGACAUAAAGGAAUGGAUGCAUUCACGCACACAGAACUCCAUUAACUUCACUGCAUUAUAACAUAUAAUGAAAGGAAAGAAAAACGUAAGGCAUUGAAUGCAUCAGUUAACAUACCAAGUAAGAUGGAAAGGAAUUUUUAGGAUGAGAAAGAGGAAGGAGGCACACAAAAGGCAGAGGCAUGGAGCAUGUAUAUAUAGGUGGGGAUGAGCUACUUUAAUGAUGCAUUCAAGACCCCUAACCAAAAAAUCUGAACAAACAUUGUGAUAAUGACAGUAGAAAACACAAAGCAGAGGGGAAAGGACAUAGUCAAAACCUUAAUCCAACAGUUCUGCCACAGAACAAAAAAUGAUGAGUAAUGCACAAGUAUGAAGAGAUAGAAGCAUCAGAAGAGAGAAAAUAUAUUACCAAAACAGUAUAUCAAAUGGUCUGCAUAGUUAUGAAGACACAGAAGCAUGAGAAAUAGCAUAGAAAAAGCAAAAAAUAGGAUGUCAUUAUAGCAGCAUCAGACAGUGAGUUGUUCAACCAAAGAUUAACACAAGAAAAAAAUAAUAUAAGCAUGUACAAAAGUAAACGGAACCGUAAUCAAAAUGUAACAAUUUCACAUAACAAAAAAUGAGCAUGGAAAAAUUACACACAUAUGGAAAUAAAUAACAAAAUGAUCAUUUCAGAAGACCUCAUCAUCAGCAAAAUGAAAAAUAGUGACAAUGUUAUAGUCGGGUUGUAAAAUGGGAGGUUUGAGUGACAAGACUAGAAGACUAGCCAUGCAACGAACUAGAGUUGGUCCCAGGAAGAGUUUCAGAGGCCUCAAUCGUGGAAAUGAAGCCAAUCAACAAAACCCAAAAAAGGACAGUAAAACGUUAUGGAGGCAACACGUUUAAAUGCUUCCAUCAACGAAACGCAAACCCAUUUCAUAUAUGUGAUUGGGGGAAAAAAUAAGGGAUUCGUAAAUGACGAAAAUGAGGGGUUGGAAGACGCAAGCAGAAAUGGGAAAAACCAGCAUUGGACACGGGGGAGUUGAGAACCGAUUGAAACUGUGAACGGAGAGAAGGAAAGCAAACUUUGAAACGGAAAAAGAUGAAAACAAACCUUCAAAAGGAGGAAAGACGAAAACAAAAAAUCGAAAGGGGGAAAGACGGUAACCAAACUUUGAAAGAGAGAAAGAUUAAACCAACAAUCGAAAGGGGAAAAGAUGAAAACCAACCUCCUAAACGGUGAAAGACGAAGACGACAACAAGGAAAGGAGGGAAUGAGCUCGAACUAAGGGAGAGUUGGUAAGGGAUUACAACAGACACAAGGGAGAGAGAGGUAGUGUUAUGGGGGAGUCGAUGAUGAAUUGAAAAGGCAAAAGGGGAGUGUGAUACUAGUUGAGGAAGUGUACAGCGAGGGUUUGAAAUCCUAAAACUAUGUAGUGAUAAUACUUCCCACGAACAAUCCACGGCCCAAACGGCCCCGAAGUGUCUAUUUUUACGAAGAAUAUUAAAUAUUAAUUGUAUUGGAUACUAUAUUAUUUUAUUUUUAAGAAAAUGAGUAAUUUUACUGUAUUAUUUCAUUAACUACUUGUAGAACUUUGGGCAAAAGAAUUAUUUG